GACGGUGUCCUCAGAUGGAGAGAGGAAUGU
RNAcentral lists this non-coding RNA (30 nucleotides) under Mus musculus (house mouse). The record is from RNAcentral. Lineage: Eukaryota; Metazoa; Chordata; Mammalia; Rodentia; Muridae.